GAUGAACGCUGGCGGCGUGCCUAAUACAUGCAAGUCGAGCGAACGGACGAGAAGCUUGCUUCUCUGAUGUUAGCGGCGGACGGGUGAGUAACACGUGGAUAACCUACCUAUAAGACUGGGAUAACUUCGGGAAACCGGAGCUAAUACCGGAUAAUAUUUUGAACCGCAUGGUUCAAAAGUGAAAGACGGUCUUGCUGUCACUUAUAGAUGGAUCCGCGCUGCAUUAGCUAGUUGGUAAGGUAACGGCUUACCAAGGCAACGAUGCAUAGCCGACCUGAGAGGGGGGUCGCCCACCCGGAACCUGAGACACGGUCCAGACUCCUAGGGGGGGCAGCAAGAGGAAAUUUGCCGCAAUGGGGGAAAGCCUAACGGAGCAACGCCGGGGGAGUGAUGAAGGUUUUCGGAUCUAAAAACUCUUUUAUUGGGGAAAAAAAUAUGGGAAAGUAACUGUGCCAAUCUUGACGGUACCAAAACAAAAAGCCCCGGCAAACUCCGG
RNAcentral lists this ribosomal RNA (496 nucleotides) under uncultured bacterium. RNAcentral describes it as "partial 16S ribosomal RNA". It matches the Rfam family "Bacterial small subunit ribosomal RNA", at positions 28 to 506 of the family's 1533-position model. The record is from RNAcentral.